GCAGCCACGAUUCCGUGCUGUUGCAUUGAGGUUUCCACCACGAAACCAUGAGAUGGGCCCAUCGUGGUGGCGUUACUCUUCGUACGUCUUGUAUCAACCAUGGUUGUUUGAAAAAAUGUGUGAAAGAUGAAUUUGGAGCACGCUUUGAAUAUAUCUCGCGCUCUCAAUGAAAGCACCAAUUUGUGGGAGCAAAUUUCCGUCCCACCAGA
This 209-nucleotide long non-coding RNA is filed under the name Prunus persica (peach). RNAcentral's name for it is "long non-coding RNA (PPER_LNC008120)". The record is from RNAcentral. Lineage: Eukaryota; Viridiplantae; Streptophyta; Magnoliopsida; Rosales; Rosaceae.